RNAcentral lists this ribosomal RNA (517 nucleotides) under uncultured eukaryote. RNAcentral's name for it is "bacterial SSU rRNA". It matches the Rfam family "Eukaryotic small subunit ribosomal RNA", at positions 637 to 1150 of the family's 1831-position model. The record is from RNAcentral.
GAUUUCUGGCUUGAAACAUUUUGCCGGCCACGGUUUCGUGUGUUAGUGCAUUGUGUUCUGGCCAUCCUUCCAAUCGCUACUGACUAUUCUUCAUUGAUUGGUCAGUGGUAUUGGAUCUUUUACUUUGAAAAAAUUAGAGUGUUUCAAGCAGGCUUUAUGCUAUGAAUACAUUAGCAUGGAAUAAUAAUUUAGGACUUCGGUUCUAUUUUGUUGGUUUCUAGGACUGAAGUAAUGAUUGAUAGGGAUAGUUGGGGGUGCUAGUAUUCAGCGGCCAGAGGUGAAAUUCUCGGAUUCGCUGAAGACUAACUUAUGCGAAAGCAUUUGCCAAGGAUGUUUUCAUUAAUCAAGAACGAAAGUUGGGGGCUCGAAGACGAUCAGAUACCGUCCUAGUCUCAACCAUAAACGAUGCCGACCAGGGAUUGGCGGAUGUUGCUUUUAGGACUCCGCCAGCACCUUAUGAGAAAUCAAAGUUUUUGGGUUCUGGGGGGAGUAUGGUCGCAAGGCUGAAACUUAAAGG